This 253-nucleotide ribosomal RNA is filed under the name uncultured bacterium. RNAcentral's name for it is "partial 16S ribosomal RNA". It matches the Rfam family "Bacterial small subunit ribosomal RNA", at positions 524 to 776 of the family's 1533-position model. The record is from RNAcentral.
UACGGGGGGGGCAAGCGUUGUUCGGAAUUACUGGGCGUAAAGGGCUCGUAGGCGGCCAACUAAGUCAGACGUGAAAUCCCUCGGCUUAACCGGGGAACUGCGUCUGAUACUGGAUGGCUUGAAUCCGGGAGAGGGAUGCGGAAUUCCAGGUGUAGCGGUGAAAUGCGCAGAUAUCGGGAGGAACACCAAUGGCGAAGGCAGCUUGCUGGGACGGUACUGACGCUGAGGCGCGAAAGCGUGGGGAGCGAACAGG